This 102-nucleotide microRNA precursor is filed under the name Marmota monax (woodchuck). Lineage: Eukaryota; Metazoa; Chordata; Mammalia; Rodentia; Sciuridae. The record is from RNAcentral.
AGUACAACUGCUGGAUCAGAUGGUAAGAGUAUGUUUAGUUUUGUAAGGAACUGCCAAACUGCUUUCCAAAGUGGCUGUACCAUUUUGCAUUCCCACCGGAAU